UCAGUACUUGAAGGUGUUGAUGUGACA
This 27-nucleotide small RNA is filed under the name Bombyx mori (domestic silkworm). RNAcentral describes it as "ovarian small RNA-25769". The record is from RNAcentral. Lineage: Eukaryota; Metazoa; Arthropoda; Insecta; Lepidoptera; Bombycidae.